CCAGCUCCCGGAUUUGCUGAGCCUUUCUGCCACGUAGCUUCAACUUGUCUUGUAUUAUAUCUUGCCACUGGGGACUCUUUCAGAAUGAUAGCCUUCAGUUAUCGUGUGGUGUUCUGCGCAGUGGGUCGGAUCGUGAAGGAUGUGGCAGCGGCUAUCUGGGACACAAUGGUCAAUGAGGAUGGAAUGUUAACAGAGAAGGACGAAGAAAGGGCAACUCUUGCAGAUAAGAAGAGUGAUGUCUUUCCUAACAUGCAAGAGGGAGAAGGACAUGGAAGUGCUCAGUGUUCAACAAAACCAGAAGACUUGCU
This is a long non-coding RNA of Amphiprion ocellaris (clown anemonefish), 308 nucleotides long. The record is from Ensembl. NCBI's taxonomy places the organism in Eukaryota, Metazoa, Chordata, Actinopteri, Pomacentridae.